AGAGUUUGAUCCUGGCUCAGAACGAACGCUGGCGGCGUGGCUAAGACAUGCAAGUCGUACGGUAUGAUGUAGCAAUAUGUCAUACAGUGGCGGACGGGUGAGUAAUGAAUGGGUAAUGUACCUUGGACACAGGAAUAGCGUCGAGAGCCGCAAGGCUCUCUUUGCGAAAGUGACGGUAAUACCUGAUGAAGCGUUUGGGAGGAUGCUCCUGAACUCCAAAGGGUGGGGACCUUCGGGCCUACUGGUCUGGGAUCAGCCCAUUUCCUAUCAGCUAGUUGGUGAGGUAAUGGCUCACCAAGGCAACGACGGGUAGCCGGUCUGAGAGGAUGGUCGGCCACAUCGGAACUGAGACACUGUCCGGACACCUACGGGUGGCUGCAGCAACGAAUAAUCCGCAAUGGGCGAAAGCCUGACGGUGCGACGCCGCGUGCAGGAGGAAGUCCUUCGGGAUGUAAACUGCUUUUAGGGAGAUGCAAACAAAGCGGGCUAAUACCCCGUUCGUUGAGCUAUCCCAGAAAAAGCCUCGGCUAACUCUGUGCCAGCAGCCGCGGUAAUACAGAGGAGGCAAGCGUUGUUCGGAAUCACUGGGCUUAAAGCGCGUGUAGGCGGCGCGAUAAGUGUUCUGUGAAAUCCCACGGCUCACCCGUGGAACUGCAGGGCAUACUGUCGUGCUUGAGGCAGGUAGGGGCCACUGGAACUCUCGGUGGACGGUGAAAUGUGUAGAUAUCGAGAGGAACGCCCGAGCGAAAGCGGGUGGCUGGGCCUGUCCUGACGCUGAGACGCGAAAGCGUGGGGAGCA
RNAcentral lists this ribosomal RNA (799 nucleotides) under uncultured bacterium. RNAcentral describes it as "bacterial SSU rRNA". It matches the Rfam family "Bacterial small subunit ribosomal RNA", at positions 8 to 770 of the family's 1533-position model. The record is from RNAcentral.